UCUCCACAGGGGCUUGAAGACAUCCUUCCUCUGUGCCUUGGGUAUUCUAAGCCUUCCAGAUAUCUUUCUGGAUUUUUCUAAAGGCUCUGAGUCCCAACCAUCAAGGUCAGAUUUUCAGUCCCCAAGAGGUCAGAUUUCUCACUUCCUCCUGCUCUUUUUCCUCCUGUCCCCGACCUCUUGAUUACAUGAGGCAGGAGCUGAGUUUCUGAGACUAUCUUUUUUUUUUUUUUUUUUAACUUAUUUAUUUUCAGCCGCACCUUGGCGGCUUUCAAGAUCUUAGUUCCUUCGCCAGGGGUUGAACCUGGGCUUACUGCAGUGAAAGCCCUGAGUCUCAACCUCUGGACCACCAGGGAGUUCCCUGAACGACACUUUCAACUUCAUAAUCUCUUCACUGUGGCGUGGUCACAACAAGAGAAGCGUCUUGAUAAUCUGAACUUAGAAAAUCCUCCUCCUCAGUGAGAGCGGGCUUCCCAAGGGACAGGCUUGCUGAAACGCAGACAGAAAAAUGAUCCAGGUGCUGCACACACGGGGCUGAUGUCCGCCUGGUGCUGGAAACCCUUGCCCACGGCAGACCCGAGUGCUGAGGAACACAGCCCCUUUGUCACCCUAAUGGAUCCACCCUGCUGCUGCUGCUGCUAAGUCACUUCAGUCGUGUCCGACUCUGUGCAACCCCGUAGACGGCAGCCCACCAGGCUCCCCCACCCCUGGGAUUCUCCAGGCAAGAACACUGGAGUGCGUUGCCAUUUCCUUUUCCAAUGCAUGAAAUUGAAAAGUGAAAGUGAAGUCACUUAGUCGUGUCCAACUCUUAGCCACUCCACGGACUGCAGCCCACCAGGCUCCUCUGUCCACGAGAUUUUCCAGGCAAGAGUACUGGAGUGGGGCGCUACUGCCUUCUACGAUGGAUCCACUCUAGCCUCUGCCGUUCUCCACUGCCACCUGGCUGCCCCAGGAAAUGCCACCUCCUAACAAAUACUGGACGCUUGGCAAGCAAAUCGAGGUAAGAAGUGGAUUUAUUUAGAAAGAUACACAUCCCACAGACACAAUGAGGUCUGUCUCGAAAGGUGAGAGGCUCUGGGAGAAGCACACUCUAGAGACGGGGUGGGCCACCUCCCACAGCUUUCUCGAGCUCACCUUCAGACGGAGAGAUUCUCCGGGGGAAAGUGCAUGUCCACAGUACACAGCAGACUCUUCUUCACCCCCUACCCACCACCUUCCCACCCGCCCCAGCCUGGGCCUCCCCACCUCGGUCAAUAGCAACUGUAUUUAUCCAGCUGCUUGAACCGAAAACCGGAUUUGUUCAAGACCCCUCUCUUUUCUGUACAUUCCGUGUACAAUUCAUCAGCAAGACUUUUCAAUUCUGCCUUCAAAACACAUGAAGAAUCCAGCCGCUUCUCACCAACUUCGCCCUCACGCACCUGACCCGUAAUAGUUAACGCCCCAUCCCUCAAAUACUCCUAGACCAGUGAUCCCCAGAGUGGGGAGGAGAGGAAGCCAUUAAAUCUUUUAUCUAUAUUUUCUCAUUUCCUAUCCUUCUAUUUAAAAAUAUACACAGUGUUCAUUUUCUAAUGUACAUAAUGUAUGACUAAAGCAGAGCAUGCUUAAAAUUUAUAAACUGUGUGUGUGUAUGGAGGGAGGAGUGGAGAAUCUAGGUUAUUUUUGCAUGCAAUCUAUCACACACAUGAAGUAAAAUGCAACCCUUCUCCUGAGAACAGCUAGAAAUGAAGACAACAGGACAAAUAUUUGAAGGCCUUGGAGAGUUAACAGAGCAGUGAAAAAUUUUAGGACCAAGAUCUGGGAGAGGAAUAAAAUACAGAAAAGUGAGCCAGCAUUUGUGACCCCUUUUCCCCAGGUGUCCUUUUUUUUUUUCCCCAGAAGAAGAAAGAAGUCAAGAGAAUAAGAAGCUGACAGAGCUGUUGAUAGACAGUGUGGAUAGAAGGACGUGGGUAUUUGGGGCUCAUGAGGAGCUGAAAGCUUUGGACACCAGAGCAUUUGGUCUGGAAAAACCACACAGAACUCCUGUCUAGGAGUAAGGGGUGAAAGAUUCACUUCAGUAACUGAAGUCCAGCUUUGAAUUGUUUCAAUUCCAGUUUGGGUCAAGGAGCUUAUACACACAGCUGCCUCCUGUAAGUAGAUGCAAUUUCUCUCUUGACCAAGAAAACAUCCUCCAAGAUCUCUAUGUUUUCGACACACAAUGUCUGGCAUCAAAUCAAAACAACCUGUGUACAAGGAGACAAAACAAUGGUACUAAAAAAAAAAAAACAGCGAGAAAGAGAAUUGAGAAGUAAAGGAAACAUACCUACCAGAAAUCCAAAUUAGUGGGCUUGAAAAAAACUAUGCUUGAUAUCUUCAAGGAAAUGAAUACGAAAUGAGCAUUUUGGUGGAGAAAUAGAAACUAUAAGGGAGAAUCGAAAGAAAGUCUUGCAAAUGGAAAAUCUAAGUUUUCUUUCUUUUUUAAGAUUUUUGGCUGCAUCAGGAGGCAUAUGUAAUCUCAGUUCCCUAAGCAGUGACCAAACCCUUCAGUAGAAGCACAGAGCCUGACCACUAGACCACCAGGGAAGUUUCAAGACCCUAAGUUUCCAUUCACAGGUUUGACACAGCGGAGGAGAAAAUUAAUGAACUGGAACAAGAAAAAACAGGUAGAAGGAAGCGCAAAGGGAAGAAAGCAGAAAAGAGUCAGAGACAGAAGGAUGCAGAGAAAGGUCAAACAUGCAUGGAUCUGAAGUCCCAGCAGGAGAGAGGGGAGAAAAUGAGGCAGAAUAACAUUUGAAGAGAUAACGGCAGGAAGAAGUUCCAAAAUAGCUAUCAGAUCACAUGUUCCAUAAGGACUCUGAGCCCUAAGCAAGAUAAAGAUGAAGACAACCACAUCUCAGUGCAUCAGAGUGAAAGUGUUGGCCACCAAAGACAAAGGGAAACCUCAGAAGAAUCAAAUCCACAUUUCCUACAACAGCCAACACACGUUAUAUGACCCGGUCCAUCUGUUCAGUUUCAUCUCUUAACACCGGCACCUUGCUUACACCACAAAACUGAGGAUUUCAAACUGUGGUGUUGGAGAAAACACUCGAGAGUCCCUUGGACUGCAAGGAGAUCCAACCAGUCCAUCCUAAAGGAAAUCAGUCCUGAAUACUCAUUGGAAGGACUGAUGCUGAAGCUGAAGCCCCAGUACUUUGCCCACCUGAUGUGAAAAGCUGACUCACUGGAAACGACCCUGAUGCUGGGAAAGAUUGAGAGCAAGAGGAGAGGGGAGUGACAGAGGAUGAAAUGGUUGGAUGGCAUCACUGCCACGAUGGACAUGGGUUUGAGCAAGCUCCGGGAGAUGGUGAAGGACAGGGAAGCCUGGCGGGGUGCAGUCUGUGGGGUCGCAAAGAGUUGGACACAACUUAGUGACUGAACAACAGCAAGCCUUUUUUUUGGUGUGUUUCACAUUUGAUUAUCAUGACACCAAUUUGUUACAAUAAAAAUAGGUAAAUUAAA
Molecule: long non-coding RNA, 3471 nt
Organism: Dama dama (fallow deer)
Lineage: Eukaryota; Metazoa; Chordata; Mammalia; Artiodactyla; Cervidae
Exons: 3
Source: RefSeq, a predicted model, not a curated record